Neogale vison (American mink) is the source of this 815-nucleotide long non-coding RNA. RefSeq lists it as uncharacterized. The record is from RefSeq and is a predicted model, not a curated record. The transcript is spliced from 3 exons. NCBI's taxonomy places the organism in Eukaryota, Metazoa, Chordata, Mammalia, Carnivora, Mustelidae.
AAGAGGCAGAGUGUGAGCAUAAACAGUCCUUGGGAUCAUGGCCAGUGGGGAUCCGAGGGCCUCACCUGGCCGACCCCGUCCGCUCAGUCCCCUGCCCCUGCCACACAGCUGACCCCCACCCAGUUCUGGCUCAGACAUCCAGGGGGCAGACGGUGGAGAGAAGAACACACCCCAAACUAGAGUUGGCGAGAGCAUCGAGCGAGAGUCCGCAGGGAAGGGCCCUUGCCAAGGUGCCUGGUACCAUGUACACUGCAAUGCAGGAGUUAUCCGCAGACUUUCCAAACAGCUCAAUCCUGCCCUCCCUAGAAGAAGGUGGAUAUACUGGGGUAGAAGACAUUAUGAAGCCCACAGGUGUUUGGACCUAUUUCAUAUGAAUUAAGGAAAGGGAUUCGGAGAAGAAACGCAUGAAACUGGUAUUUUCCACCGUCGCCUGGAGGGAUCUGCCGAGCUGACCCAGAGAGGCCACUCCCUGCCCACUCAUGUUCUCACUGAGGUAUACGGGUCAGCUGCCACGGUCCCGGGCAGGAAAGGAGGCGGGUACAACCUUCCACCUUUUUUACUUUUUUUAACCUCAGUGGUCUCCAGUACACGAGGACAGGCAGGGGCAAGGCCAAGGGGGUGGCCCUUCUCUGCUCCCCUCCCACUUCUCUGUGAGUCCAUUCAAAUACUGUUUCCUCUCAGUGUCACCUAAUUCCACCUCCCCCACCCCAAACCCUGUAAUACCCCAGUCCCGUCCUUUACUUCACAAGAAGAGGUACUUCUGCUUGCGUUUCUCCCUGACCUGAGCCAGAAUUAAAUUUAGUUUUUGUUUUUCA